AGCAGUUUUUCAAUCAAAU
Molecule: unclassified non-coding RNA, 19 nt
Filed under: Mus musculus (house mouse)
Lineage: Eukaryota; Metazoa; Chordata; Mammalia; Rodentia; Muridae
Description: oocyte_clustered_small_RNA9066
Source: RNAcentral